GAUGAAGAACGUAGUGAAAUGCGAUAAGUAAUGUGAAUUGCAGAAUUCAGUGAAUCAUCGAAUCUUUGAACGCACCUUGCGCCCUUUGGCCAUUCCGAAGGGCAUGCCUGUUUGAGUAUCAUGAACACCUCAACUCUUUAUGGUUUUCCAUGAUGAGCUUGGACUCUGGGGGUUUUGCUGGCUCACAGUCGGCUCCUCUAAAAUGAAUCAGCUUACCAGUGUUUGGUGGGUAUCAUGGGUGUGAUAACUAUCUACGCUUGUGGUUUUUCCACCAGGUAACCUUCAGCAGUGGAGGUUCGCUGGAGCUCAUAGAUGUCUCUCCUCAGUGAGGACAGCCCUUUGAAUGUUUGAUCUCAAAUCAGGUAGGACUACCCGCUGAACUUAAGCAUAUCAAUAAGCCGGAGGA
RNAcentral lists this unclassified non-coding RNA (406 nucleotides) under soil metagenome. RNAcentral's name for it is "partial contains 5.8S ribosomal RNA, internal transcribed spacer 2, and large subunit ribosomal RNA". The stretch from base 1 to 121 matches the Rfam family "5.8S ribosomal RNA", at positions 35 to 154 of the family's 154-position model. The record is from RNAcentral.